UUGACCUCGAAUCAGGUAGGAAUACCCGCUGAACUUAAGCAUAUCAAUAAGCGGAGGAAAAGAAACCAACAGGGAUUGCCCCAGUAACGGCGAGUGAAGCGGCAACAGCUCAAAUUUGAAAUCUGGCUCUCGGGCCCGAGUUGUAAUUUGUAGAGGAUGCUUUUGGUGAGGUGCCUUCCGAGUUCCCUGGAACGGGACGCCAUAGAGGGUGAGAGCCCCGUCUGGUCGGA
This 230-nucleotide ribosomal RNA is filed under the name Fusarium ambrosium. RNAcentral's name for it is "partial 28S ribosomal RNA". It matches the Rfam family "Eukaryotic large subunit ribosomal RNA", at positions 1 to 233 of the family's 3401-position model. The record is from RNAcentral. Lineage: Eukaryota; Fungi; Ascomycota; Sordariomycetes; Hypocreales; Nectriaceae.